This 230-nucleotide unclassified non-coding RNA is filed under the name Hevea brasiliensis (rubber tree). Lineage: Eukaryota; Viridiplantae; Streptophyta; Magnoliopsida; Malpighiales; Euphorbiaceae. The record is from RNAcentral.
GGCAAUAUGAAAGUCACAGUGCAUUUACCCUUCCAGGGCUUUAUAGAGUUGCUUCAGGCAUCAAUGUCUUUGAUCCUAAAUUUAACAUUGCUGCUCCUGGGGCAGACCAGUCAGUAUAUUUCCCUUACACAGAAAAGCAGAAGCGUUUGACUGAUUUCCGACCUGCCAUUGAGAAGCUUCUUUUUAGUAAAGUGGAUAAUGACGAGCACAUGUAAGUCUUAGUGCUCAAA